GGGGCUGUAGCUCAGCUGGGAGAGCGGCGGCUUUGCAAGCCGUAGGUCGCCGGUUCGAUUCCGGUCAGCUCCACCA
RNAcentral lists this transfer RNA (76 nucleotides) under Chloroflexota bacterium. RNAcentral's name for it is "Chloroflexi bacterium tRNA-Ala". It matches the Rfam family "tRNA". From Rfam's summary of the family: Transfer RNA (tRNA) molecules are approximately 80 nucleotides in length. Their secondary structure includes four short double-helical elements and three loops (D, anti-codon, and T loops). Lineage: Bacteria; Bacillati; Chloroflexota. The record is from RNAcentral. RNAcentral also lists the same sequence under 4 other names.